AUGGAGCUGGCUAGGGGAGGAGACGACGACUAUGGUUUUGGUGACGAGGACGUCUCAUUGUCGGUCUUUUAUAGUGUGGGACAACAAGGAGAUGAUGUCGCGUGGCGUCCAUCCGAUGGACCGCCACAAGAAAAGGGGGCAAAUGCACCAUUAAUAUGGCGAGUGGUUAGCAGUCACCCCCUCGUCGAUGAUUAUUUGUGUGCAGUGGUGCGUGUACGGGCCACAUGGUGCCUCAAAAACCGGCCGUGGCAUGAAGAGGAAGAAGAUGAAACUUCCCUCCUGCGCUGGCGGUCGGCUUUUGAGCGAGCUUCAAAUGAAGCCUUCACAACCUCCAUGUUUGGAGGCUAUAAGGUCAUUUUUUGA
RNAcentral lists this ribosomal RNA (363 nucleotides) under Triticum aestivum (bread wheat). RNAcentral describes it as "partial small subunit ribosomal RNA". Lineage: Eukaryota; Viridiplantae; Streptophyta; Magnoliopsida; Poales; Poaceae. The record is from RNAcentral.